Long non-coding RNA from Perca fluviatilis (European perch), 637 nucleotides. RefSeq lists it as uncharacterized. NCBI's taxonomy places the organism in Eukaryota, Metazoa, Chordata, Actinopteri, Perciformes, Percidae. The transcript has 4 exons. The record is from RefSeq and is a predicted model, not a curated record.
CCUGCAGGCCCCCGCAAACUUGAGUGGGUGUACCCCGAAAUGCAUUACCAGUCUGCUGUCACCUGUCUCCUCGCUUUUUGGAGGAGUGAUACAGGUGUUGUGGGAUGCACACUGUCUGUAUCUACAUUAAGCUGGAGUUUCCUGUCCAUGCAGUUUGGAACCAAAUUGUUUCUUCUUAAAGUUAACUGCCAGGGAUUGUUUUCCUUCAGCAAGAUAACUUGGAGCCAAAGUGGUACUUUCCUGGAAUUAACUCUCAGCUGAUACCCUGACAAUCGCUGAUUCACUUCAACAAGGCUGAUAUGUAGGUGGCCCCCUCCUGACCCUCUCCCUCUCUGAGGAAAAACCACUUCACCCUGAGCAUGGGGGCCUCAGAGCUGAGGAUUGGAGGGGUCAGGUAUCCUGAGACUGCACACAGACCUGUGAUCUUAUUUAGCCUGUCUCAUUGCUGUCCUUGGAAAAAAGUUCAGCGGUCUUGUGAUGUAUGAGCAUCUUAUGAUUUCAGACGUCACGGCAAAAUCCACUGACUUUGUGCCUCUGACUGUACUGUGCUCAAAAUAUUCGCUUUUUCUGUUGCCUCGUUUCACUUCCCACUGCCCUUGUUUUCUCACACUUCUGUUCUUCUAUCUCCAAACAGUCA